GUAAGGGUAUGACAUAUAAUAUGUGAUCGAGAAUUGUCGGAGAUAAGGGGUAUAGUAUCCAAAGUCUCGGGAAGAGUCUGGAUUCCAUCUAAGGAAGUGUCAUCACUAUCAUCCAAAUUAUCAAAAUCUUCAAGUUUAGGUUCAUAGACUAGAUCUUCUAACGGCUCCUUUAUUACAUUCUUUCGUUCUUCCAUGACUAAGGUUCGAUUAGGACAUUUAGAAGAAAUGUGACCAAAGUCUUUACAGUUGACGCACAACAAGUGAGAAGAAGACCUUGGAGUUUCAGAAAUUCUACCCUGAUUUUUCAAAAUUGGAGAACCAUUAGAAGGGGGAGGUCCUAGAAGGGACUUAACGGGAGGAGGUGGAGCCAAUGAAGCCAAAUGAUGAUUAUCAAAAUUUUUACCCUUAUUUUUCAAAAUUGGAGGAACAUCAGACGGGAGAGAUCCUAGAAGGGACUUAACGGGAGGAAGUGGAGCCAAUGACACUGAAGGAUGAUUGUCAAUAUGCUUUCUAUAUGGAGAAGAAGAUCUUGGACUUUCAUGACCUUUACAAUUAUUUUUCCAAAUAGCAGGAACAUUAGACGGAGAAGGUUUUAUGAUAGAGUUAUGAUGAGGCGACGCUAAUGAGAUGGGUGAACGACGAUGACCACGCUUUUCAUAUGGAGUACUAAUAAUUAACUCAUAAUCUCGAGUUAAAGAGUAAGCGUGAUCAAGAGUAGUGACACCUCGAAGGAAAAGCUCGCGCUUAAGAUCAUCUCUUAGACCUUGGCUAAACCUACUCAAAGUCGUGCUCUCAUCCUCAAUUAAAUGACAUUUGGUUCGAAAUUCCUCAAAUUGCGCGAUAUAAUCAGUCACUAAUUGAUUUCCUUGUUUAAGGGCAUUCCAUUGAGUAAGAAUUUCAAAAUUAUCUCGUUCUCGCUCACGAAUCUGAUCCCUAUUCCUAUCCUUACAAUCGGGUCGAAAGUAUUUUUGAUUACAUUGUCGACGAUGUUGUCUAUUAUGGGACACCUUAGAAUUAUCAACAUCAAUUGAAUGAGGGAUGUGUUUAAAAUUUUUCAAACUAACAAAUAGCGCCUUACGCUCUUCAAGAGUAGCGUUCAUUUGAGUUUGAAUAACCGCUAUUUGUCGGGUGAGUGCAUCGAAUUGUGAUGGGUCCAUGUUUAAGGUACUGGAGCUAAAAGUGACAAGAUGACCAAUAUAGUUAUAUGCACUGUAAUAGCAACUUAAUGACAUGCAAUAGGGAGAUCAACGAACAAAAAGUGCAAGUAAUGAAAAAUGAAAAUUUAAGCUAUUUUUUUUUUAAAUUUAAAUUUUGGGAUUAAAAUCCAAAACAAACUAAUACUGUUAGUAUAAGUAAAAUAGCAAAGUAAGGGUCAAAUACUAGUCAAACUCUAAUCACGUAAAAUAAGUGAGGUAAAAGUGGAACUUAUUGAAGUGAAUGGGUCCAAUUAUGUGAGUGAGUUUAGAUAAACAACUAGAUCAGCAGCAGCACAAAAAUUUAAUUGAUGCAAUUUCUAAGAUAAACAGUAAUGUACCAAAGAUAAAUAGAAUGGUAACUCCUCUUUUUGUUCAUCGAAGCGACUAGAUUGAUCAACAGAACAGGAAGAGGUAUCCUGAACAGUAACACGAUUUUUUUUUAUACUACAGAAUGAAAAUACAAUAUUUGGAAUCCCGGGUGUGAACAGUACCCGUGAACAGUACACGAUUUUUUUUUCCUCUUCAACAAGGGCAGAGAACAGAAUGGAAAAAAAUUGUUGUUUCUUAUGCUAAACCUCUUUCAAUUGUGCUGUUUCAACGAGAUUUGGGAGAAAAGGAGAGAUUUUGGAUUGUAAAAAGAAAGUACCCAAGAUUCGGCUCUGAUACCACUUUGAUGCAGGAUGAAAAUGAAUUCCUGCAAAGUAGUUAGAACAAACAGAAUAUAGCAUAACCAGAAGAAGAAGGCGAAAGCAGUAAGAAAGGGGGAGGAACCGGAG
Molecule: long non-coding RNA, 1972 nt
Filed under: Olea europaea subsp. europaea
Lineage: Eukaryota; Viridiplantae; Streptophyta; Magnoliopsida; Lamiales; Oleaceae
Source: RNAcentral